This 219-nucleotide ribosomal RNA is filed under the name Escherichia coli. RNAcentral's name for it is "partial 23S ribosomal RNA". It matches the Rfam family "Bacterial large subunit ribosomal RNA", at positions 296 to 523 of the family's 2925-position model. The record is from RNAcentral. Lineage: Bacteria; Pseudomonadati; Pseudomonadota; Gammaproteobacteria; Enterobacterales; Enterobacteriaceae.
AGCCCAGAGCCUGAAUCAGUGUGUGUGUUAGUGGUAGCGUCAGGACAGGCGCGCGAUACAGGGUGACAGCCCCGUACACAAAAAUGCACAUACUGUGAGCUCGAUGAGUAGGGCGGGACACGUGGUAUCCUGUCUGAAUAUGGGGGGACCAUCCUCCAAGGCUAAAUACUCCUGACUGACCGAUAGUGAACCAGAACCGUGAGUGAAAGGCGAAAAGAA